RNAcentral lists this ribosomal RNA (253 nucleotides) under uncultured bacterium. RNAcentral describes it as "partial 16S ribosomal RNA". It matches the Rfam family "Bacterial small subunit ribosomal RNA", at positions 524 to 776 of the family's 1533-position model. The record is from RNAcentral.
UACGUAGGUGGCAAGCGUUGUCCGGAUUUACUGGGCGUAAAGAGCGCGCAGGCGGUCGUUCAAGUCGCGUGUGAAAGCCCCCGGCUCAACUGGGGAGGGUCACGCGAUACUGAUCGACUCGGAGGCAGGAGAGGGUAGUGGAAUUCCCGGUGUAGUGGUGAAAUGCGUAGAUAUCGGGAGGAACACCAGUGGCGAAGGCGACUACCUGGCCUGUUCUUGACGCUGAGGCGCGAAAGCUAGGGGAGCAAACGGG